Dermacentor silvarum is the source of this 186-nucleotide long non-coding RNA. RefSeq lists it as uncharacterized. NCBI's taxonomy places the organism in Eukaryota, Metazoa, Arthropoda, Arachnida, Ixodida, Ixodidae. The record is from RefSeq and is a predicted model, not a curated record. The transcript has 3 exons.
UUAAAAAGGCAUUGCGGUGCUACAGGGAAAUUAUCAUGGACGUCACGCCUCCAGAGGCCCAGAAAAUUAUUGGAGAACUUGUGUCAGUAUAUGAGAAGUGCAUGCUGGGAUUAUUCAAUUCUUCGAUUACAUCUACGACGCCACCUACCGCUGGGUCAACAAUGGCAAAAUAAAGCUCUAGUAUUG